GUCUACAGCCUUGCCACCCUGAACGUGCCCGAUCUCGUCUGAUCUCAGAAGCUAAGCAGGGUUGAGUUAGUACUUGGAUGAGAGACCACUUAGGAAUACCAGGUGCUGUAGGCG
Molecule: ribosomal RNA, 114 nt
Filed under: Pteropus alecto (black flying fox)
Lineage: Eukaryota; Metazoa; Chordata; Mammalia; Chiroptera; Pteropodidae
Source: RNAcentral